GGAAAAGAAACUACCAAGGAUUCCCCUAGUACGGCGAGUGAAGAGGGAAGAGCCCAAGAUUGAAAGCUGGCGUCUUCGGCGUCCGCAUUGUAAUCUCAAGAAGUGUUUUCCGCUUCGGACCAUGCCUAAGUCCCCUGGAAAGGGGCAUCAUAGAGGGUGAUAAUCCCGUACAUGGCAUGGAGCGCCCGAGGCUUUGUGAUACGCUUUCUAAGAGUCGAGUUGUUUGGGAAUGCAGCUCAAAAUGGGUGGUAAAUGCCAUCUAAGGCUAAAUAUUGGGGAGAGACCGAUAGCGAACAAGUACAGUGAUGGAAAGAUGAAAAGAACUUUGAAAAGAGAGUUAAACAGUACGUGAAAUUGCCAAAAGGGAAGGGUAGGAGGUCAGAGAUGCGUCUUGGAAUUCAGCCUUGCUUUUGCUUGGUGUUUUUUCCAAGUUGCAGGCCAACGUCGGUUUUGGGCACUGGAGAAGGGUGGAAGGAACGUGGCACCUCUCGGGGUGUGUUAUAGCCUUCUACUGGAUACAGCGACCGAGACCGAGGACAGCAGCGUACUCGCAAGAGCGGGCCUUCGGGCACCUUUACGCUUAGGGCGUUGGCAUAAUGGCCCUCUACCACCCGUCUUGGAA
This 622-nucleotide ribosomal RNA is filed under the name Sporisorium erythraeense. Its description in RNAcentral is "LSU rRNA". It matches the Rfam family "Eukaryotic large subunit ribosomal RNA", at positions 55 to 659 of the family's 3401-position model. The record is from RNAcentral. Lineage: Eukaryota; Fungi; Basidiomycota; Ustilaginomycetes; Ustilaginales; Ustilaginaceae.